UGACCUGGGACAGUUAAAGAAACAGGGUAAUUUGUUUGUUUCCACUUUUGUUUUUUUUUCCCAGUUUUUGUUUGUCUUGUUUAAAGACUGGUUGUUCUUUACAGGCCAGUCUGAUUUUCUUUCUUUUUAAAAAAAUCUAUUUUAGGUUCUUAAACUGAUUAAAAAAGGUAUCGCGUUGACAUCAUACGCUGGAAAGCUGGUUGGGGUCAUCUGGGACAUGCUACUUCUGAUUCUUCAAUCCAUAGUGCUCUUUUUCGGAUUGUUUGCAGGACUUCACAAGCAUUGGAGGCCAUACAGAUUGGAGCCACUAAAGUACUGUCAAUGCUGUUGAUGACAGCAGAUUUCUUGCCACCAUAUUUUUCUGCAAGCAGCUUUGGUCUAGAUGAUAAACAGGUUGCUGAUUUGAAAUAUUCUGUAAGCUUUAUUCUACUAGAGCAAUCUGAAUAAAAUGAAGACUUAUUUGUUGCUACUGUCAAUCUUUUCACUGUUGCUGCUCGUUAUCAGCCUGCUUUUUUUAUUGUUGUAUUUGCCACCAAAGAGUUUAUGGACGUCCAACCAGGUAAUGCUAGUGAUGGGAAGCUGCCAGCAAUUGAGAUUUCCUCUGGGCCAGUAGAGUCUAAAAGUUCAAGCCUUGUAGAUGCAGUACUUUGUUAUGUUGUAAAUUCUGACA
This is an RNA transcript of Humulus lupulus (European hop), 670 nucleotides long. RefSeq lists it as uncharacterized. The record is from RefSeq and is a predicted model, not a curated record. Lineage: Eukaryota; Viridiplantae; Streptophyta; Magnoliopsida; Rosales; Cannabaceae. The transcript is spliced from 4 exons.